This 829-nucleotide long non-coding RNA is filed under the name Salmo salar (Atlantic salmon). Its description in RNAcentral is "lncRNA (ENSSSAG00000098452.1)". The record is from RNAcentral. Lineage: Eukaryota; Metazoa; Chordata; Actinopteri; Salmoniformes; Salmonidae.
CACUAUCAUCCACCAGGAGAGAGAGGGAAACUGGAGCACUAUCAUCACUAUCCUGUUCUUUGAUGUCUUAUGUUAGCCAUGUGUUAGCCUUUACCUUAUAUGACCUGCAGGAAUGUGGUACGGUUUCCCCCAUAAAGAUAUAAUAUCAAACGGUUCUAUUUAAUUGUGUAAUUUACCCUAUAGACGUAGCCUAUGAAUUCUCGAUAUAUUACAAUGCCAUGGAGUCGUCCAAAAAUACCCUUUAAACACUUACAGAUUUUCUUCCCUACUGAUCCGAGUGAGUUUACCUCAGCUGACCUACGCUAUAUGAAACAGCCAGACAUCCAAUGCUGAGGAACCAACACAAUGUAACGCAGCCGUCUGCUCCAUCCCUUUCAACAGCGUCAGCGCUCACCUCUCAUUUCUGACCAUACAGUGCCAUCUACAGGAAACAUGGCCCACUGAGGAGAGCCAUGUUUCAUUUCAUCAUAGCAACACUACGCGGCAGUAUAGACGUUCUGCAGGAAAUCUCAAGUGUUAUUACAUACAGCAGGGAAGAACUAUUGGAUAUCAGAGGGACAUCAACUUAGAAAACAUUACGACCAGGAAUACGACUUUCCCGAAGCGGAUCCUUUGUUUGGUCCUCCACCCUGGACAUGUGAUCUAAUCUACCAACAUUACUGAAAAUUGAUAUAUACUGUAGUGUUUUUUGGAAUUAAACUCUUCAUGUACAGAGGCAGGCUGGCAUGUUAGAAGGCCACAGGCUAUUGGCUAUGGUAAACAAUUUAAAAGCUAUACAGUUAGCGGCUAGCAAGGAUAAAGAUAAUAACAGGUAAACAAUAGUAAGACC